AGAGUUUGAUCCUGGCUCAGGAUGAACGCUGGCGGCGUGCUUAACACAUGCAAGUCGAGCGAAGCACCUUGACGGAUUUCUUCGGCUUGAAGCCUUGGUGACUGAGCGGCGGACGGGUGAGUAACGCGUGGGUAACCUGCCUCAUACAGGGGGAUAACAGUUGGAAACGGCUGCUAAUACCGCAUAAGCGCACAGUACCGCAUGGUACGGUGUGAAAAACUCCGGUGGUAUGAGAUGGACCCGCGUCUGAUUAGGUAGUUGGUGGGGUAAUGGCCUACCAAGCCGACGAUCAGUAGCCGACCUGAGAGGGUGACCGGCCACAUUGGGACUGAGACACGGCCCAAACUCCUACGGGAGGCAGCAGUGGGGAAUAUUGCACAAUGGGGGAAACCCUGAUGCAGCGACGCCGCGUGAGCGAUGAAGUAUUUCGGUAUGUAAAGCUCUAUCAGCAGGGAAGAAAAUGACGGUACCUGACCAAGAAGCCCCGGCUAACUACGUGCCAGCAGCCGCGGU
RNAcentral lists this ribosomal RNA (513 nucleotides) under uncultured bacterium. Its description in RNAcentral is "bacterial SSU rRNA". It matches the Rfam family "Bacterial small subunit ribosomal RNA", at positions 8 to 521 of the family's 1533-position model. The record is from RNAcentral.